Molecule: long non-coding RNA, 357 nt
Organism: Anastrepha ludens (Mexican fruit fly)
Lineage: Eukaryota; Metazoa; Arthropoda; Insecta; Diptera; Tephritidae
Exons: 3
Source: RefSeq, a predicted model, not a curated record
CUUAUAUCUGUCAUAACUACGCUCAUUAUUUUUUCACAAAUUUCUUCCAACAACACUUUGCGGUAACGCUUCGUUUAUAAACAUCAGAAUGGGACGUUUUUUUCAAUUCUGCACAAUGUACAAGAAUAUAUGUUUUUCUAGUUCUGAUUUUUUGAAGAUGAAAUAUUUGUAUGCUGUUUUUCUAUAAAUACAGGUGGAUAUAUGAUGAAAAGGAGAGGGAAAUAGAUGUUAACCGAAACCCAGUCUUAAAAAUGAUGUACUAAAGUUUGAAUGUCUUUUGGAAAAGUGAAAGAUUGGUUUCAUUCAGAUAUCGGGUACUCCGAUGGACGGACGAACAGGCGGAGGGAUGAAUAGACG